This 3712-nucleotide long non-coding RNA is filed under the name Equus caballus (horse). RNAcentral describes it as "lncRNA (ENSECAG00000048364.1)". The record is from RNAcentral. Lineage: Eukaryota; Metazoa; Chordata; Mammalia; Perissodactyla; Equidae.
CCUCGGCCCCCCUCACCAGGCUGCCUUCCCUCGUGGGUGCCCUUAUCCUCAUGGUCCAGCCGUCUCGGUUCCAGGUGGUAGAAAGGAGGAAGGGAUGAAGAAGAGCCGCAACAAGCAGGCCGCCUCGUUCGUAAGGAGUAUUACGGAAGCUGCCAGAGGAAACUUCCGCUUACAUCUCAUUGGCCAAAACAUAAUCGUAAUCACACGACCACACGCAACAGCAAAGGAGGCUGGGAGAUAUGCAGUUUUAACGUCCCAAACAAUUUGCCCAGCAGCAAAAUGGAGGUUUCCAUUUUAGUAAUUUAUUUCAAUAACGAAUAUUGGGGGACAGACUACAGUAUUUGCCACGCCACAUUUUAGAAGCAUCUCUGCAUCACUAUGAACACUUGGGAUGCUCGCCUUCGGACCUUCUGAAGCGAGGGUGGUUCUUUGAAUGACCUUCUGCCUGAGAAGUUCACCAAUUCCUGUCAUAGCUUCAUAUCCCUGAUCAAUGUGCUCAGAAAAGAGCAGAUGUGACCCCGGACACUGCACUGCAGACUCUUAGAAACUAGUUACUGAAAAUCUGUUACGUGAUGAUGUAAUGUCAGGACGUGCUCCAGCAGCAUCUCAAAUGCUGGAAAGGAUUAAUGUGAGGAACAGGCUGGCAGCCUGCUGAAGUCAUUUAAAAGACAGCAAAUGCUACGGAAUAAACAAGCAAAAAUGAAUGCUAGUUGGUUAUUAAAGUAAAAUUUCUUACUUAAUUGAAGACUGAUAUCACUUGAACUAAAUCUGACUACAGAAGGGCCAUCUUCCCGCUAAGUGCAGAGAGAAGAGUUGACAUUGCAUUUUGUAUAGUUGUGUAUGGAGAUGGCUUAUGUCACUCUGUCUUGAUACCCUUUUUCACAGAAUCAUCAUGCGAACUCAGACAUGAUUCAAAUCCAGUCAGAUCUUUACGCAGAGAUUAAGAAUCACAAAGUCUCUAUUAUUAACUAGAUUUUGGAUGUGAGUAUUUCAUUGUAAACCUCCUGGAUCCAUUGCCUUUCCAGCCAAUCUGGGUCAAGACCUCUCAGCUGCCAUGUGCUUUCCCCAGGUUUCCCGGGUUUCUAAUCUCCAGCUAGCUCUGUUCUUCAGCUGCUUUUUGACUGGUAAUGAGUAACUGGCUGGCUUACUUGCAGACUUUAUACACAAAAGUACAAGAAACCUGACAUUCUUGGUGGACGGAUUCAAUUAAUUAUCUCCUCUAAACUUGUUCUCCCCGCUGGACUUGUUCUAAUAGGUGUUUUUGUCCUCACUAUUUAUGUCUGGGGUUAUAUGGCACCAUGGAUAUUGAGUUUCUCUCUCUCUGGGGCCUCAAUCAUUGCCUGAUAGGGGAUGAUCAGAUCAUAAUGAUUAUUUCAGGCCCUUUCUCCUCCGGCUGUGCCUUACCCGAGAAACAGCCCAGAGGGUCUCAGAGUUAAAUCGCUUCUUCGAGCCACCUUCUGGGGCAGCUUCUUCAAGUAGAAAAAAUAUGAACCUUUUAAGUGAAGUUUGGCCUCAUUGAUAAACACGGGAUUCGCAUCUUCCCGUUCUGGUGGUUGCCUGCUCAGAUAAUCUUUCUUUAUUGUGGUGGUUUUAAUGACUCAUUUUUGUUCUAAAUUUUUUUCUCUCUAAAGAGCAAUAAGUGCACAUAGUAAAAACUUCAAGCAGUACAAAGUAUAUAUAAUAAGUCUCCUUGUACCCCUUGAGACCCAGUCUACCCCUUGAGACCCAGUCUACCCCUUGAGUGCUCCAGUGUCUAAAGCUGCCCGUCACACAGAGAAAAAGUUCCAUUUCUAUAGCCUGUGAUUAAAAACUGUCAGGAUCUCUCCAUGAUCUCUUUCCCUCAGUUUUUUCCUACUCCAGGCACAUACCCUCUGCUCCAGCCGUACUUGCUAUAGAGUUUCUCUUCCUUUUUUUAACUUUAUUGAGAUAACUUUGACAUAGAAAAAUUAUAUAUAUUUAAGGUGUUUAACUUGAUGUUUUGAUAUACGUAUACAUUGUGAAAAGAUUACCACAAUCAAGCUACAUUACUUACCCAUGACCUCUACAUAGUAAUUAGCUUGUGUAUGUGUGUGUGUGGUGAGAAGACAAUUUAAGAUCUACCCUCUGAGGAAACUUCAAGUGUAUAACACAGUGUUGUUCACUAUGGUCACCAUGCUGUAUAUUAUAUCUCCUGCACUCUUUCAUCUUGCAUAACUGAAACUUUGUACCCUUGACCAGCAUCUCAUCUCUCCUAUCCCUGCCAACCACUGUUCUACUCUUUGCUUCUAAGAAUUUGACUAUUUUAGAUUCUAAAUAUAAGCGAGAUCAUGCACUGUUUGCCUUUCUGUGUCUGGAUUAUUUCACUGAGCAUAAUGCCGUCCAGUUUCUGGAUGAGGCCUGGGUCUUUGCUUGUGGACACCCUGUCCCUGGGUCUUUGCUCUGGUGGUCCGCUCUGGUGGAGAGCCCUUCAUUCUCCUAUGAAGCUUGCCCCACCUUCCAGGCCCUAUUCAGGUUUUCAUUAUCACUGACUUCCUUGUAUUCGCCUCACAUAUUUGUCUCCACUACUAAACCAUCAGAUCUAAGAGGGACGGAGUCCAGAAACCUGGGCUCUAUGCUCAGCUCAGCCAUUAAUAAUUGUGUGGCCCAGAGAAAGACAGGAAGCCUCCCAGGGCCUGGUUUUCUCAUCUGUUACAACAUUUUUGAAAACAAAGAGCCAACUCCUACAAGACUCAAGAAGAGAGCAGUAACUCACGCUGCCUGUAUGUUCUUAAAGUAGGGAGAGAGAUUCUCUCUUCUCUAUAUAGAUGAAAAUAAAUAUUUGAAGUAAAUAAAUUAGUUUACUGUUGUCCUGUGAGAAAUACAAGCCUAGUGGAAAAACAAAGAAUGUGUUUAUGGAACUAUAUGAGCUAAACUGGUUAUUAUAAAUCUGAGUGGUUAAUAAGAAAUUCCAACGUCCAUGGAAUGUUUACUUAAUGUACUAAGACCCUCCGUUCAAGCAGAUAACUUGCAAGUUGAUUGAAUUCAUGAACUUUUAUUGGUGGUCUUUCAAAUUAAAUAAAAUCCUUUGCCUUUUCUUGAAGUGUUGCUUCUAGCAGGAGCUAUGUCUUAUGCACUAUCAGGGAGGGACUGUGAAGAGCUUGUGACCUUAUUUCACAGUUAAAAUACUCAGACCAUAAUCACUAAGAUGUCCUUCUAGGAAAGAAUUUCAUUUAAAUCCAGCUAAAGUAGACUUUAAUAUUCAUAAAAGGAUAGAAUUGUUCUCCGAAUAAAUCUAUCAUGGAAAGUGUUGUGGCAAGUAUGAAUAAAGCCAAGGAGCUUAAUAUUUUAAUGGAAAUUUUUCUUCCAAAGACUAGAAAUAAAAAUAGAAAAAAUUUAACCUUUCAGGUCAUGGAAAUGAACUCAUAAAAUUCUCAGACCACAAGUGUUAAGGUAUCUUCACAGAAAAAGAGGAAAUAAAAAGAAUCAUAAGAGUUUUUCGGUCUAACUUUGUGCAAGUAAUUUUGAAAACCUGGAUAAAAGAAAGAAUAUUUUGAAAAAUGUAAUCUACCAAAACUCAACCAAAGAUGAAAAAUCUAGGCAGACAGAUUUCCAAAGAAGAAAUACAGAAAGUAGUCCAAAAGUUGCUUUUAUUCCUUUCAAUGUUUUCCUAAGGGAAUUCUAGAAAACCUUUAGAGAACAUAUUAUUCUAAUGUUAUUUAAAUUUUUUCAGAUCAUAGUAAAAAAGGAAAGUCCC